Molecule: ribosomal RNA, 439 nt
Filed under: uncultured soil bacterium
Lineage: Bacteria
Description: bacterial SSU rRNA
Rfam family: Bacterial small subunit ribosomal RNA
Source: RNAcentral
AGAUUGAACGCUGGCGGCAUGCCUUACACAUGCAAGUCGAACGGCAGCACGGGAGCAAUCCUGGUGGCGAGUGGCGAACGGGUGAGUAAUACAUCGGAACGUGCCUAGUAGUGGGGGAUAGCCCGGCGAAAGCCGGAUUAAUACCGCAUACGACCUACGGGUGAAAGCGGGGGAUCGCAAGACCUCGCGCUAUUGGAGCGGCUGAUGUCAGAUUAGGUAGUUGGUAGGGUAAAAGCCUACCAAGCCGACGAUCUGUAGCUGGUCUGAGAGGACGACCAGCCACACUGGGACUGAGACACGGCCCAGACUCCUACGGGAGCAGCAGUGGGAAUUUUGGACAAGUGGGCGACAAGCCUGACUCCAGCCAUGCCGCGUGCGGGAAGAAGGCCUUCGGUUGUAAACCGUCUUUUGCGAAGGAAGAACGCACGUGGACCUAAUA